GGUUAAUACCCUGAGUAGAUGACGGUACCAGCAUAAGAAGCACCGGCUAACUACGUGCCAGCAGCCGCGGUAAUACGUAGGGUGCGAGCGUUAAUCGGAAUUACUGGGCGUAAAGCGUGCGCAGGCGGUUUUGUAAGUCAGAUGUGAAAUCCCCGGGCUCAACCUGGGAACUGCAUUUGAGACUGCAAGGCUAGAGUGUGGCAGAGGGGGGUAGAAUUCCACGUGUAGCAGUGAAAUGCGUAGAGAUGUGGAGGAAUACCGAUGGCGAAGGCAGCCCCCUGGGCCAAUACUGACGCUCAUGCACGAAAGCGUGGGGAGCAAACAGGAUUAGAUACCCUGGUAGUCCACGCCCUAAACGAUGUCAACUAGGUGUUGGGAGGGUUAAACCUUUUAGUGCCGUAGCUAACA
Molecule: ribosomal RNA, 408 nt
Filed under: Candidatus Accumulibacter phosphatis
Lineage: Bacteria; Pseudomonadati; Pseudomonadota; Betaproteobacteria
Description: bacterial SSU rRNA
Rfam family: Bacterial small subunit ribosomal RNA
Source: RNAcentral